GCUCCGGUGGCCUAGUGGUUACUGCGUCCGCCUCGGAUGCGGGAGGUCGUGGGUUUGAUCCCUCGGCCUAGUCACA
This is a non-coding RNA of Potamilus streckersoni, 76 nucleotides long. The record is from the annotation of a GenBank genome assembly. Lineage: Eukaryota; Metazoa; Mollusca; Bivalvia; Unionida; Unionidae.